This 311-nucleotide long non-coding RNA is filed under the name Homo sapiens (human). RNAcentral describes it as "non-protein coding lnc-EIF2AK3-4:63". Lineage: Eukaryota; Metazoa; Chordata; Mammalia; Primates; Hominidae. The record is from RNAcentral.
ACGCAGUCUCCAGGCACCCUGUCUUUGUCUCCAGGGGAAAGAGCCACCCUCUCCUGCAGGGCCAGUCAGAGUGUUAGCAGCAGCUACUUAGCCUGGUACCAGCAGAAACCUGGCCAGGCUCCCAGGCUCCUCAUCUAUGGUGCAUCCAGCAGGGCCACUGGCAUCCCAGACAGGUUCAGUGGCAGUGGGUCUGGGACAGACUUCACUCUCACCAUCAGCAGACUGGAGCCUGAAGAUUUUGCAGUGUAUUACUGUCAGCAGUAUGGUUACUCACUCACUUUCGGCGGAGGGACCAAGGUGGAGAUCAAACG